UGGUAAUUCUAGAGCUAAUACAUGCUGAAAACCUCGACUUCGGGAGAGGUGUAUUUAUUAGAUAAAAAACCAACGCCCUUCGGGGCUUCUUGGUGAUUCAUGAUAACUUUACGGAUCGCAUGGCCUUGCGCCGGCGACGGUUCAUUCAAAUUUCUGCCCUAUCAACUUUCGAUGGUAAGGUAUUGGCUUACCAUGGUUUCAACGGGUAACGGGGAAUUAGGGUUCGAUUCCGGAGAGGGAGCCUGAGAAACGGCUACCACAUCCAAGGAAGGCAGCAGGCGCGCAAAUUACCCAAUCCCGACACGGGGAGGUAGUGACAAUAAAUACUGAUACAGGGCUCUUUUGGGUCUUGUAAUUGGAAUGAGUACAAUUUAAACCUCUUAACGAGGAACAAUUGGAGGGCAAGUCUGGUGCCAGCAGCCGCGGUAAUUCCAGCUCCAAUAGCGUAUAUUAAAGUUGUUGCAGUUAAAAAGCUCGUAGUUGAACCUUGGGUCUGGCUGGCAGGUCCGCCUCACCGCGUGUACUUGUCCGGCCGGGCCUUCCUUCUGGAGAACCUCAUGCCCUUCACUGGCGUGUUGGGGACCAGACUUUUACUUUGAAAAAUAGAGUGUCAAGCAGCCUUUGCUCGAUACGUUA
RNAcentral lists this ribosomal RNA (636 nucleotides) under Phoma sp. A593. RNAcentral describes it as "SSU rRNA". It matches the Rfam family "Eukaryotic small subunit ribosomal RNA", at positions 150 to 805 of the family's 1831-position model. The record is from RNAcentral. Lineage: Eukaryota; Fungi; Ascomycota; Dothideomycetes; Pleosporales; Didymellaceae.